Long non-coding RNA from Gorilla gorilla gorilla (western lowland gorilla), 763 nucleotides. RefSeq lists it as uncharacterized. The record is from RefSeq and is a predicted model, not a curated record. The transcript has 4 exons. NCBI's taxonomy places the organism in Eukaryota, Metazoa, Chordata, Mammalia, Primates, Hominidae.
AUCCCCAGCCCCAUUUCAAGCUGUCAUCAUGAACAGUAGUGGAGGAGUGGAUUUGCCAAACAGCUGUCAGAGCUGACACCAGGGAGUGUCAGCAGUGGGGCUGGAGCUACCCUUGGUGGAGCGACUUUCCUCUUGCUCAAUUCCUGGGUUCCCUCCUACUGUUCUGAACCAAUGACGCAGAUGGCAAGUGAAACAGAUCAGCAAAGAGGCCCAAAGAAGCAAAGAAACUUGCCCAGGAUCACACAAAUCAGCAAGAGGAGCUGGGAUUUGCACACAUUUUCUUAGGGCCAUGAAAGAGCCAACCUAGAGGUCAAGCUAGCAUGCUGAGUGUGACAGUGAAGAAUGGUGGAAAGAAUAUGACUUGGUGAUGCUGGUUUGAACACCGAAUUAGUCCCCUUGGGAACACUCCAUCAUACAUCCCAUGUCAGCCUGUUUUACAGCCUCCUGCCCUACAGCCUGUUUUUCCCCAAACUCCAUGUGGAAUGCGGUCACCUUGUUAGUUGGAACCAGCUCCUGACAGACCCUGGCAAUUUAUAGAUGAGCCCAAGUGAACAUUCUUCAUGACCAUGCUGAAGUUUCCACUCCAGGAGGAGCCACAGCUUCACUACCAUAACAUACAACCUAUGUGGUGGCAGAAUGACUCACUGCCUCUGCAUCACUGGGACCCCUUCUCUACGUGCAACGAUGUGCCCUCUCUCCUAUCCAUCACUCCAUUAAACCCUCCUGCCAUUUUCCCUCAGGGAAACGCUGCUUUGGAAAAUAC